GAUGAACGCUGGCGGCGUGCCUAAUACAUGCAAGUCGAGCGAACGGACGAGAAGCUUGCUUUUCUGAUGUUAGCGACGGACGGGUGAGUAACACGUGGAUAACCUACCUAUAAGACUGGGAUAACUUCGGGAAACCGGAGCUAAUACCGGAUAAUAUUUUGAACCGCAUGGUUCAAAAGUGAAAGACGGUCUUGCUGUCACUUAUAGAUGGAUCCGCGCUGCAUUAGCUAGUUGGUAAGGUAACGGCUUACCAAGGCAACGAUGCAUAGCCGACCUGAGAGGGUGAUCGGCCACACUGGAACUGGGACACGGUCCAGACUCCUACGGGAGGCAGCAGUAGGGAAUCUUCCGCAAUGGGCGAAAGCCUGACGGAGCAACGCCGCGUGAGUGAUGAAGGUCUUCGGAUCGUAAAACUCUGUUAUUAGGGAAGAACAUAUGUGUAAGUAACUGUGCACAUCUUGACGGUACCUAAUCAGAAAGCCACGGCUAACUACGUG
RNAcentral lists this ribosomal RNA (497 nucleotides) under uncultured bacterium. RNAcentral's name for it is "partial 16S ribosomal RNA". It matches the Rfam family "Bacterial small subunit ribosomal RNA", at positions 28 to 507 of the family's 1533-position model. The record is from RNAcentral.